This 253-nucleotide ribosomal RNA is filed under the name uncultured bacterium. Its description in RNAcentral is "partial 16S ribosomal RNA". It matches the Rfam family "Bacterial small subunit ribosomal RNA", at positions 524 to 776 of the family's 1533-position model. The record is from RNAcentral.
UACGUAGGUGGCAAGCGUUGUCCGGAUUUACUGGGCGUAAAGGAUGCGUAGGCGGAUAUUUAAGUCAGAUGUGAAAUUCCCGGGCUCAACUUGGGAGCUGCAUUUGAAACUGGGUAUCUAGAGUGCGGGAGAGGAGAGUGGAAUUCCUAGUGUAGCGGUGAAAUGCGUAGAGAUUAGGAAGAACACCAGUGGCGAAGGUGACUCUCUGGACCGUAACUGACGCUGAGGCAUGAAAGCGUGGGGAGCAAACAGG